Molecule: ribosomal RNA, 420 nt
Filed under: uncultured bacterium
Lineage: Bacteria
Description: bacterial SSU rRNA
Rfam family: Bacterial small subunit ribosomal RNA
Source: RNAcentral
UAAGGAAUAUUGCUCAAUGGGAGAAAUCCUGAAGCAGCAACGCCGCGUGGAGGAUGAAGGGUCUAUGACUUGUAAACUCCUGUAAAGAAGGAAAAAAUUCCCAUUAGAUGGGAGAUGAUGGUACUUCUGGAGUAAGCCCCGGCUAACUACGUGCCAGCAGCCGCGGUAAUACGUAGGGGGCAAGCGUUGUCCGGAUUUACUGGGUGUAAAGGGUGCUCAGGCGGAUUUGUAAGUCAGAGGUGAAAUCUUACAGCUUAACUGUGAAACUGCCUUUGAUACUGCAAGCCUAGAGUAUGGAAGAGAGUGAUCGAAUAUCUGGUGUAGCAGUGAAAUGCGUAGAUAUCAGAUAGAACACCAAUGGCGAAGGCAGUCACUUGGUCCAUUACUGACGCUAAAGCACGAAAGCGUGGGUAGCAAACA